CUGGCAUCAUCUGCGUUGAGAAAGAAUCCACUCGAUAUUGUCGAAGUAUGAAUUGUAGACAAAUAAAAUCGAAAAGCCUCAGAUCUAAAUCAAUGCAGAAUGCGUUUAUUGAUUUGUGCAACCCGCCCGAAGUCAUCGAAGGACAACCCUCUGCGUUUCACAUACCGCUGCGUGCGGGAACGGCCAGGACCACGAGCCGCUUCCGACAAAAAGAAAAAGGCCGUGGCCCAACCUUGCUACGGGUCAGUUUCGCCGUUGCGCAACACAUUCUUCGAGGGAGUCCACGUGCCAUUCCGAAAGGUAUAUCCGCGAUUCGCCACCAGCCU
This 326-nucleotide long non-coding RNA is filed under the name Androctonus crassicauda. Lineage: Eukaryota; Metazoa; Arthropoda; Arachnida; Scorpiones; Buthidae. The record is from RNAcentral.